AGAUUGAACGCUGGCGGGAUGCUUUUUACACAUGCAAGCCGAACGGCAGCGCGGACUGGUUCAGGCGAGUGGGCGAACGGGUGAGUAAUGUAUCGGAACGCUCAGGCGGGGAUAACUACGCGAAAGCGUAGCUAAUACCGGCAUACGCCCUUCGGGGGAAAGCGGGGGACCUUUCGGGCCUCGCACUAAUAGAGCGGCCGAUAUCGGAUUAGCUGUUGCGGGGAACGGUCGCUCACUAAGGCGACGACCUGUAGCUGGUCGAGAGGACGACCAGCCACACUGGGACUGAGACACGGCCCAGACUCCUACGUGAGGCAGCAGUGGGACUUUGGACAAUGGGGGAAACCCUGAUCCAGCCAUCCGUGGCGGACAAGGCCUUCGGGUUGUAAAGCACUUUUGGCAGGAAAGAAACGGCACGUGAUAAUACCCCGUGCAACUGACGGUACCUUAAGAAUAAGCACCGGCUAACUACGCGCCAGCAGCCGCGGUAAUACGUAGGGUGCAAGCGUUAAUCGGAAUUACUGGGCGUAAAGCGUGUGCAGGCGGUUCUGAAAGAAAGAUGUGAAAUCCCAGAGCUUAACUUUGGAACUGCAUUUUUAACUACCGAGCUAGAGCAAACAGAGGGAGGUAAUUCUGCGUAGCAGGAAAUGCGUAGAUAUGCGGAGGAACACCGAUGGCGAAGGCGGCUCUCCUGGGACAACACCGACGCUCAUGCACGAAAGCGUGGGACAAACAGAUUAGACACCCCGGUAGUCCACGCCUCAAACGAUGUCAACUAGCUGUUGGGCCUUCGCCUGCAGCAGCUAAUGCGUGAAGUUGACCGCCUGGGGAGUACGGUCGCAAGACAAAACUCAAAGGAAUUGACGGGGACCCGCACAAGCGGUGGAUGAUGUGAUUACACUCGAUGCAACGCGAAAAAACCUUACCUACUCCUUGACAUGUUCAAACUCAAAGAGAUUUGGGAGUUUCGCAAGAGAACCGGAACACAGGUGCCGUAUGGCUGUCAGUCAUGUGUCGAGAUGCUGGUUAAGCGUCCUCGCAACGAGCGCAACCCUUGUCAUUAGUUGCUACGAAAGGGCACUCUAAUGAGACUGCCGGUGACAAACCGGAGGAAGGUGGGGAUGACGUCAAGUCCUCAUGGCCCUUAUGGGUAGGUCACACGUCAUACAAUGGUCGGGACAGAGGGUCGCCAACCCGCGAGGGGAGCCAAUCCUGGAACCCGAUCGUAGUCCGAUCGCAGUCUGCAACUCGGACUGCGUGAAGUCGGAAUCGCUAGUAAUCGCGGAUCAGCAUGUCGCGGUGAAGAUGUCCCCGGGUCUUGUACACACCGCCCGUCACAAUUACGGGAGUGGGUUUUACCAGAAGUAGUUAGCCUAACCGGGUAAGGAGGGCGAUUACCACGGUAGGAUUCAUGACUGGGGUGAAGUCGUAACAAGGCAA
Molecule: ribosomal RNA, 1440 nt
Filed under: uncultured Bordetella sp.
Lineage: Bacteria; Pseudomonadati; Pseudomonadota; Betaproteobacteria; Burkholderiales; Alcaligenaceae
Description: partial 16S-23S ribosomal RNA intergenic spacer
Rfam family: Bacterial small subunit ribosomal RNA
Source: RNAcentral